RNAcentral lists this unclassified non-coding RNA (208 nucleotides) under Hevea brasiliensis (rubber tree). Lineage: Eukaryota; Viridiplantae; Streptophyta; Magnoliopsida; Malpighiales; Euphorbiaceae. The record is from RNAcentral.
AUGACAAAGAAUAAUUUUUGAGGGAAUACAAAUUUCUUUCUACAAAAAUAGAAAAUUUAAUUAAUUUUUAAAGUUGCAUUUUGCUUUUCUCAUGUGAGGAAUUAUUAACUACUGCACUGGCUGUACCUUAGCAAUCACUUCUCAUAUAAAGUGAUUUCACAUAUUUACCAAGUGUGCUUUCUUUCAUUACCUUUAUUUCCAAAGAAAU